Long non-coding RNA from Neopsephotus bourkii (Bourke's parrot), 4411 nucleotides. RefSeq lists it as uncharacterized. The transcript is spliced from 2 exons. The record is from RefSeq and is a predicted model, not a curated record. Lineage: Eukaryota; Metazoa; Chordata; Aves; Psittaciformes; Psittacidae.
CCAACCCCCCUGCCAUGGGCAGGGACACCUCACACUAAACCAUGUCAACCAAGGCUCUGUCCAACCUGCCCUUGAACACUGCUGGGGAUGGAGCAUUCACAACUUCCUUGGACAAGUUGUUCCAGUGUCUCACCACCCUUACCAUAAAGAACUUCUUCCUUUCUCAAGUCCAGUGAAGGUUUCCACAAUAUGAUGUUAUUUUGCAAGAAUGUAUUUAUAAAAAUUACUUCUUGAAGUAUGACCUGUCUUGGGCUUUCUCAUGGAGAGUUGCCAUCUGGUGCCAGUGCUCAUCAUUGGUGUUAAUCUCUAUUGUUAGCAAUAAAAACUUUAGAUGCCAUGAGAGCUAUGUUGGCUGACAGUGAAAAGUACUUUUUUAUAAUAGCUGGAAUUUCACAAAAAAAAAAAAAGAAAAGGAAAUAGUUAAGCUGUUUCUGUAUUUCUCCUUUUUCACAGCAGUAGAUUAACACUUUUUAAUAUUAGAACAACUUCUGUUGUAAAACACUAGCGUGCCUAAACGCUGAAUGGCAGAAGGCUUCUUGACAGAAACCCCUGCAGACAGAAAACCAGGUGGGGUACCGAGGCUGGUAUCUCACCUUGGAGCAGGAGGUUUUCAGCCUGAUGCCUUCUUUCUCAGCUUGUACUGGGAGAGAAGGGUCGUGCAGUGCUGACAGCAGCCAGUGGAUAGACGUGUGCUGUUGCACGAGUGACCUCUACUGGCUACACGGCAUUAGGAGUAGCAAUCGGAAAAUUUUAAGCGGCAUUGUAACUGAGUCCCCAGCGUAUACAUCCUCUAACUGCAGCUGCUGUUGUCCGUUGUUGUUGGUGGUCCCCAGAAACGGAAGGGGCUCAGUGGAUGAGGAAAAACUAUAGGGUAGGUGGCAAUGGGAUACUGCUUUCUAAUACAUCCUGAUCUAUCCAGAACUGAUAACAAAUUACAGCCGCUUCUUUUCACGACUGGUUAUUGCUUUACAAAUGCCAUUAAGGAAAGACUCAAAUCUCACAUUUGACUAAUAAAAAUAGAUGAUAUGCCAAGUAAAUAUUCAGUUGAUGGGAAAGGACAGGAAUUCUCAGGGCAGUUUGUAGAGAUAUUGAUAACUUUCAAUACCUUUAUUCAGUAACUGAAAGAGCUGUCUAUGUCAGUUGGAUCUGCUGUUUUAAUUUUACUUCUCAACUGGGACCCACUUUUAUGCAAAAAAUGACAGAAGAACUGUAUGUUUUUGUUUGAAAUAGUAGAAAUGUAAGACUUUCCAGGCUCUUGAAAGGAACCCAAUGUAGUAAUUCUUAGAUAUGUCAAAACAAAGGUUUUAUAAAUAAGUAACCAGAAAGUUAAUUAAAUGAAUGUAUGUUCUGUUGGUUUUAAUCCAAUAAGUAUCUGAAAUAGAGAAGCUGAUGCUUUUCCUCAUCAGCUACAACUCUGUUGAGCAUGGCCUCUUCAGUUCUUAUACUUCUGGAGGACAUUCUUAACUUGUCUUGCCCAUGCUCUCCAAAUCCUCAGCUGUAAAAAAUAUGCUGUUGCUGUGGAAGUGAGUGCUCAGGUAAAGCUUUUUCAUGAUUUCUUUAGAAGCCUACAGUGGAAAACAGCUCUUUUAAAAUCUCUUGCACAUCUCAGCAUGUGGGAGGCAGAGCCUUCCUUUUUCCUAUGGUUGCUGAUGUUGCAGAGCAGGCAAGCCAGGCUCCCAAGAUGCAAACUGCUGCUGUUCUGUGACGUGAAAGUAAGACCCCAUUCGUACCCAAGCCCAACAUAUAGAAUAUAUGUUUGCAUGCCUGUCUAUGUGUUCACAUCUGUCUGAUAUUAUCCCAUAGUUAUUUUGAUGUACUGGUUAAAAUAACUUCUGUGCUGCACUGGAAUUUUCCUUUGAAGGGAUUCUGUCAAUAUAAUACACUUCUGACUAUUAGCUAAGACUUUUGGAAAUAAUUACAAAAAAUACAUUUUCUAGCUUAUUUAGCUAAUGGAUGUGUCAGCACUUUGUGUAUUGACAGUUUCCCAUAUCAUCUGUAUGAAUAUUUCUCCCCCUGCUUAGAGAAAUUAAUUAUAUGAAAAUAAAAGAAGGUGUUCUGUACAAAUGUUGUUAAGGGAGAUGGGAGCAGCUGCAGCACAGGAACUAUCCACCUAACUACUGAGAUAUAAAAGGAAAUCAUGGGGUAUUUCAGAUGCUUCAACUGUUCACAGCUGAUUUAUAUUUGUGUAUAGCUAAAGUCAUUAUUAGGCAGUGGCUGAGUAAGAACACGACAAGCCAGAAAUCAGAUAUUUAUGCUAAUUUUGGACUAUAUUUGUAUGUGCAGUCUUGAAAUUCCAGAUGCUUUAGUGGUAUUUUGCAGGAGCAAUGGACAUGGCAUGGUAGUCCUUACACAGGAGCUGUGUAUGAAACAAAUCCUGAUUGUGUUCUUGCAUUUACUGUAUGUGUAUUUUCAGAGAGAGGAGCUGAAAGCAUGAGUUCAGUGGAAUUAAAUGAUUGUUAUUUUUUAACAUGGUUGUUGAUAUUGUAAAUUGUUCUGUACAGAUAACAAUGGUAUGUAUUAAUUCAAAGUAUCUAUUAUUGGCGGUAGCUUAUUGGGGUUUUGUUUCUUUGUAGAAAAAAUCCUCCAAAAACAUUACUUGCAUUGGUACAUUCUGGAUGUGACUUUAGAUAGAUGAAUUAUUCUUAUCCAGUUGGAUUUAAGAAAGUAAGCCAAAGCAUAUUUAAGGGAGAACAAAUAAAUCUUUUUUGUUCUGAGGGAUAAGAGUUAUAAAACAUUUCUGUAUAGUUCAUGUUAACUGAAGCAAUCUUCUUGUAGUAUUCCAGUCCAAAUCCUGCAAUAGGAAAUUUUAUAAGGUACCUUAGAUGUCAUUGUCUUUUAUCCUGGAUAAACCCAUUUUGUUAGUAAUAGUAUGUUUUUGCUUCACAACAAAUGCUGGUUAGAUUCCUGAAAUCUGUGUAUCAUGUUUAUGUCACAAUGUGUUGAAGCCCUUUAUAUUACCUGCUGUUAGAGUGCUAUCAGUAAUAAAUGUCAAUUGUAGUGAUAUAGAGUAACUUAUGUACUUACAUAUGAAUUUAACUAUGCCACCCACAAACUUAAAAUGAUACAAUGAAUUUAGAAUCAAAACAUGGUAAAGUUUAAAUAUAUAUUCUAUAUUUUAUUAGAUCAUAAAUAUACAAAUCUAGCCACCUUCCCCCUAAAAUUGAUGCAGAUAUUUUUAUAUAUAUAUAUUUAAGAAAUGAAAGGUAUACUGUUUUCAUGGAUGUUUUAAUAAGUGCCAAUAUGAAAUGUGCCAUAAGCAUCCUGAGAUACCAAAAGCAGAACAACCUGGGUGAAAUUUGUGACAGUGCAAGAAAUCUGUGCGGGACUGUGCAAUUGUUUUAAUCAGAUGUGAUGCCUUUGAUAUGGGGGUGCAUUUUGUACAGUAGGAAUUUAAUUCACAUGACAGCUGGCACACGUUAUUUGAUUACAGAGAAAAACUAACAGCACCUUUUAAUGCUCUCAGGUCCUAAUUCUUUCUAGACUUGCCAGGAAGUCUGUACCAGUUGCAGUGUGCUCAUUUAAAGCACUGAGAUUACUCAGUGUUAGACAAAUACAAUAAAGUAAGUGGAAUUUCAUAUAAUGUAGGAUACUUGUAUUUUGUUUUUAAUUACCUGUGCCUUUAGUAUAUCUUUCUGGUAUAUGUUUUGAGAACCUCUGCAUUUUUAGUAGCUGCACCUUUCAAAAGCUAACUAUAAUGCCUUUACCAUCUCCUGACAAGUUUUGCAUUCGAGUUUUAGAAAUUUUGAAAACUUUAGCUAAGUUGAAGGUUUCUGUGCAUAGACAUGCAUUACUAAAAACUAUAUGUAUAAAUAUCUUUAUUUUUAUUGUCAUUUGGACAAGUUCUGUUUGUAUGUUUUCAUUGAGCCUGGUGCCAAGUAAACUCCUGCUUUACCACGUUUAGUUGGAGUCAGGACAAUGGAUAAAAGGAUUUGAAUGUUCAGGAGGGAUAUUUUUCUUUUGUGUUACCAGAAAGUAAAGCAUGAAAUGUGUUACAUAUCUUUAAGAGUAAUUAUAUUUUAAAGAACAGUAGUGCUCAUAUCCAUUUUAGCUUUUCUCUUUGUUCAUAUGUACAUUGUAGUGAUUAUUUCUGUAUUAUAUCUGCUGAGCAUAUGAAAUGUAGAUAGAAUGAUUAUGAUGCAACUUAAGGUACAAAUUCAUAUUUCAUCAAAGUGCUCUACCAAAAUGAAAAGUCUUGAAUUUUUAUGAAUGUAAAAAUGCUUAUAUUUAAGAAUAUGGUGCUUGUUUUUUCACUUUCACAAUACAGUUUUAAUCACUGAUAUUUUUAGUUACCUUUGUUCCAAAUUCUGAUGGAAAUUACAUUGCUCUUCAUUUACUGUAAAAUGUGCUUCAUGGGACAAUGAUUGUGCAUUUGUUCCAUAUUUUUUUUAAAUAAAGCUGAAUAUUACUUGUA